This 646-nucleotide ribosomal RNA is filed under the name uncultured bacterium. RNAcentral's name for it is "bacterial SSU rRNA". It matches the Rfam family "Bacterial small subunit ribosomal RNA", at positions 31 to 698 of the family's 1533-position model. The record is from RNAcentral.
GAACGUUGGCGGCGUGGAUUAGGCAUGCAAGUCGUACGGUAAGCUUCGGCUUAUAGUGGCGAAAGGGAGAGUAACGCGUGGUUACAUGCCCUCGGGACCGGGAUAGCGGCGGGAAACUGCCGGUAAUACCGGAUAAUAUCUUUGGAUCAAAGGUGUGAUUCCGCCCGAGGAUUGGACCGCGUUCUAUUAGCUUGUUGGCGGGGUAAUGGCCCACCAAGGCGACGAUGGAUACCGGGUGUGAGAGCAUGGCCCGGCUCACUGGGACUGAGACACUGCCCAGACACCUACGGGUGGCUGCAGUCGAGAAUCUUCGGCAAUGGGGGCAACCCUGACCGAGCGACGCCGCGUGCGGGACGAAGGCCUUCGGGUUGUAAACCGCUGUCAGUUGGGAGGAAGUGCCGGGGGGUUCUCCCCUCGGUUUGACCGAUCUUCAGAGGAAGGACGGGCUAAGUUCGUGCCAGCAGCCGCGGUAAGACGAACCGUCCAAACGUUAUUCGGUAUCACUGGGCUUAAAGCGUGCGUAGGCGGCCUGGUAGGUGGUGUGAAAGCCCACGGCUCAACCGUGGAAUUGCGCUUCAAACCACCAGGCUGGAGGAUGGCAGGGGUGAUGGGAACUGAUGGUGGAGCGGUGAAAUGCGUUGAUAUC